Molecule: long non-coding RNA, 956 nt
Organism: Dermacentor andersoni
Lineage: Eukaryota; Metazoa; Arthropoda; Arachnida; Ixodida; Ixodidae
Source: RefSeq, a predicted model, not a curated record
GGAUGGCUGCUGCGAACUGUCGGAGCAACAGUACAGCGUGCUACGGGGCACGUACGUCAGCAUGACGCUGCUGAAACUGAACCAGACGGGACCGCUCCAGUACCUGCGUGACUGUGUCAUAUUAGCCAACGCGACGAAGCAGCUGGCGCCGCAAUGGUGCUGCACCGAGAGUCAUCUACUCUCCCUCACCAUGGCGAGCGACGCGUUUAAGGUCUACGAACGUCCGCUAAAAUGUGGCUACGUGGUCUGCAAGGUCAUCUCUAACCACUGGGAAAUGUUGCUCUACUUUUUCAUCCUCUUCUGUGUCAUGCACUGGAUGGCGUACUCGAGCAUCAGAAGCGAGUACGUUAUGAUGCGCCUCUUGGACGAGAUGCGAAGAAGGCGUGCGCUGACCGCCACUGAGGAGCGUCGCAGCGUGCCGGAGCCACAAGCUGCACCAGCUGUCGGCCAAUGAGGUGCCCAGGAAUAGCCGGUUCCUGAAGGACGCUCCACAACAAGCCAACAAGCCAGUACAAACAUUCACAUUACCAGCAACCACCCGUGGUGUCAGCCAGGAUGUGCUGCAUAGAGAAAUUGCACAAAAAAUUUUAUAAGAAAGGGGAAGCUGUAAAAAUUGGUAGUGAGACAAAUGUUUAUCUCAGUCAAGCGCACUAAAAUGUGUUUCUGUACAAAUUUUCCGGCCUUUUCAUUCUAAUGUUUCUUUUUUGCAUAAUAAAUACUUCCGCAUAAAAUAAGCUAUUAAAUUCACAGGAAAACUGUUUGGGGUGGUGCCAGGGUCUCAACCUCAGUUAGAUUUCGUUUUGGUUUGGAGAUAAAAAGUUGUAACGAUUCGCAAACACGAGUCGCAUUCCGCAGUACGGCGGAUUUGUCAGCAUGCUCAGGGUCUUUCCAGUGAAGGCAGACAUGGACUCCCUGGCAAUUGGUAAGCAGAGAAAAAAAGGGGAGAAAUGUUUACG